AGCGAACGCUGGCGGCAGGCCUAACACAUGCCAGUCGAACGAACCUUUCGGGGUUAGUGGCGGACGGGUGAGUAACACGUGGGAACGUGCCUUUAGGUUCGGAAUAACUCAGGGAAACUUGUGCUAAUACCGAAUGUGCCCUUCGGGGGAAAGAUUUAUCGCCUUUAGAGCGGCCCGCGUCUGAUUAGCUAGUUGGUUGAGGUAAUGGCUCACCAAGGCGACGAUCAGUAGCUGGUCUGAGAGGAUGAUCAGCCACAUUGGGACUGAGACACGGCCCAAACUCCUACGGGAGGCAGCAGUGGGGAAUCUUGCGCAAUGGGCGAAAGCCUGACGCAGCCAUGCCGCGUGAAUGAUGAAGGUCUUAGGAUUGUAAAAUUCUUUCACCGGGGACGAUAAGGACGGUACCCGGAGAAGAAGCCCCGGCUAACUUCGU
Molecule: ribosomal RNA, 433 nt
Filed under: uncultured bacterium
Lineage: Bacteria
Description: partial 16S ribosomal RNA
Rfam family: Bacterial small subunit ribosomal RNA
Source: RNAcentral